This is a long non-coding RNA of Girardinichthys multiradiatus, 604 nucleotides long. RefSeq lists it as uncharacterized. The record is from RefSeq and is a predicted model, not a curated record. The transcript has 3 exons. NCBI's taxonomy places the organism in Eukaryota, Metazoa, Chordata, Actinopteri, Cyprinodontiformes, Goodeidae.
GAAAGGAAACUAGGGUCUUUUAAGUGAAGAAUUGAUGGUUUUCAUGUGAGCGACGCUUACGUCCACGUUAGACGAAUAAGCUCAAACACCCAUUAAUAAAGACCUGAGCAAUGAAACGGAUAUUGAAAGGCAUAAUGUUAAUUAAAAGACACCUGUGAAGUUUGCUCCCGAAAACACCCAAUGUCGACAUUAGCAUUAGCCUUUUUGUCGAACACAGUUUAGUAUGCUGUUUCCAUCUGUUCAUUAACAUACUUGGGAAUGUAAAUUUCCGAGAAGCAGCUUCUAAGCAAAUUAAACAAACGGAGCGUAAAGAGGCUAAACUACUGGGUGAAACCCGUUUACAGUCGAAGAAGCAAGACCAAAGUUCUUCGUUGUCGGGAGAUGUCGUCCUUCCCAAGAUCUCAAGUACAGGAGUGAAGGGGAGUCCUAGGUCCCACUAACAUCAGCAUCUUUUAGCGUAGUAAGCACUCCUACCUCAAAUUUCUGACUGGACACCACACAACAAAUAAAGUUCUACCCAGAAAAUGUGAAGCAGCACGAACAAAAUGAUGUCAUUUUGUUUUAGAAGUUCUGGGAUGGAGAGCAAAUUUCUCUGCUCUUGUGG